Molecule: long non-coding RNA, 1195 nt
Organism: Cynoglossus semilaevis (tongue sole)
Lineage: Eukaryota; Metazoa; Chordata; Actinopteri; Pleuronectiformes; Cynoglossidae
Exons: 3
Source: RefSeq, a predicted model, not a curated record
GCGCUGCCUUAGGUUGUUACUCGGAGAUGAUCGAUCCGUAUUUCGGUGCCGUUUAUGUCGAAGCUUUGGUUGUAAAUUGUUAUGAAUUAUAUACACAUAGUCUAUACCUUGAGCCAAUACCUUGAUUGUUAUUGCGAAAUAGAGCUGUGUUUAUAUCAAAUUUGAAUGUUGAAACUCAUAAAGUUUAUAAAUCCGACGACGUUAAAGGCAGCAUCGCAGGUGAAGUGAUUUUAACGUUAGCACUGCGGUUGUUAGCCUAACACUUUCUUGAAAGAAUACUUUAAAGUUUCAAAUUACUUGUUUUAAGUAGUGAUAUAUUGGAGAUAAAGUCCUUUAGAUUUAAUUACUUUGAGUCGAGAUAGAGGUUUGAACGGAGUGAGUCAACAGUCAGGACGACUUCGUUUUACUGAGAAGAUUUUCGUCUGACCCGUGGAGACCUAUUCUGCUACCUGACUAUUCGGCGGCCUACACAGGAUGACUUGUCUACAGUUCCCUACGAUGAGCGUUGAGACAGAAGGGAUAACGAGUAGCAGCUUGAAAAGUCUCGGCGAAGAACACACACGAGUUUCUCCCUGGCAGGUAUCAGAAAUGGUUUAAGAGUAAGAAGGAUUCUAACAUAAGAACAAAAGAUUCUAAUGAUGUUUGCUCCACUAUACCUUUGCUAACAUGGCCUGAGUGUUGGCAAAGGUCAGAGAGGUGGCAUUAUAAUUUUAUGAUGAUCAUUUAUUUAUUUUGUCAAGUAAAUCCAAUCAGAAUGCCUUGGAGCUACCCGGAUAGCAAACAGGGAUAAUUAGCAUCACUGGGAGAGGUGGUGUCUCCUUGUACUCUGGCCUCCACUCUCUUUUAUCUGUUGUAGGUGGUGGGGAAGCUAAAUAUUGAUGUAGCUGCCCAUACUCACUGAAACUCAAACCACACUGUCCAGCUCUGUGAAGGGCUGUGUUUCAAUGCUGGACUCACUUCUCUCUCACACACUGGGGAAGUUAACUAGCAGUCAGUUUUACUUUGUUUUGUAUCCUUUGCCAAUAAAAGUGUUAUGUGUAAUUUAACUCAAACUUAUUUGUAUAUGUUGGAAUAGGUUCAGCUGUUGUUAGUUGCCAAAAGUUUUUCACACUUGGUCCACUUGCUGUGAGCUCCCUCAAGGGAAUCUUCCUGGAGUUCAGUGUGAAGUCAAAGACUCUUGUAUGUCCUGAGAACU